UGAAAUCCCAAAGGGGAGUAGCGUCCGGAUAUUCCGGAAACAAAGUCGUCAAUUCAUGGAUCAUAUCCAUCGGCUUUGUUGGCAUGCCAAUCAUUCAUGUCUAGCAAGACCUUUGCCUUAUAU
RNAcentral lists this unclassified non-coding RNA (123 nucleotides) under Bacillus velezensis. RNAcentral describes it as "yybP-ykoY". RNAcentral also lists the same sequence under 3 other names. The record is from RNAcentral. Lineage: Bacteria; Bacillati; Bacillota; Bacilli; Caryophanales; Bacillaceae.